This 1877-nucleotide long non-coding RNA is filed under the name Oncorhynchus kisutch (coho salmon). RNAcentral describes it as "lncRNA (ENSOKIG00005023819.1)". Lineage: Eukaryota; Metazoa; Chordata; Actinopteri; Salmoniformes; Salmonidae. The record is from RNAcentral.
AUGCUUGCUGGGGCACAGCGGUCAUUUGCUUCUGCCUCAGGGCCAUUUGAGGAGGAUGCCACACUUGCUGGGGCACAGCGAUCAUUUGCUUCUGCCUCAGGGCCAUUUGAGGAGGAUGCCACACUUGCUGGGGCACGGCAGUCGGUUGCUUCUGCUGCAUUUGAGCUGGAUGCCACACUUGCUGGGGCACGGUGGUCGGUUGCUUCUGCUGCAUUUGAGCAGGAUGCCACACUUGCUGGGGCACGGUCGUCAGUUGCUUCUGCUGCAGGGGCAUUUGAGGAUGCCACACUUGCUGGGGCACGGCAGUCGGUUGCUUCUGCUGCAGGGGCAUUUGAGGAUGCCACACUUGCUGGGGCACGGCAGUCGGUUGCUUCUGCUGCAGAGGCAUUUGAGAAGGAUGCCACACUUGCUGGGGCACGGCAGUCGGUUGCUUCUGCUGCAUUUGAGCUGGAUGCCACACUUACUGGGGCACGGUCGUCAGUUGCUUCUGCUGCAGGGGCAUUUGAGGAUGCCACACUUGCUGGGGCACGGCAGUCGGUUGCUUCUGCUGCAGAGGCAUUUGAGAAGGAUGCCACACUUGCUGGGGCACGGCAGUCGGUUGCUUCUGCUGCAUUUGAGCUGGAUGCCACACUUGCUGGGGCACGGUCGUCAGUUGCUUCUGCUGCAGGGGCAUUUGAGGAUGCCACACUUGCUGGGGCACGGCAGUCGGUUGCUUCUGCUGCAGAGGCAUUUGAGAAGGAUGCCACACUUGCUGGGGCACGGCAGUCGGUUGCUUCUGCUGCAUUUGAGCUGGAUGCCACACUUGCUGGGGCACGGUCGUCAGUUGCUUCUGCUGCAGGGGCAUUUGAGGAUGCCACACUUGCUGGGGCACGGCAGUCGGUUGCAGGGGCAUUUGAUCAGGAUGCCACACUUGCUGGGGCACGGUGGUCGGUUGCUUCUGCUGCAGGGGAAUUUGAGCAGGAUGCCACAAUUGCUGGGGCACGGCGGUCGGUUGCUUCUGCUGCAGGGCCAUGUGAGGAGGAUGCCACACUUGCUGGGUCAUGGCGGUCAGUUUCUUCUGCAGCAGGGGCAUUUGAGCUCUAUGCCACACUUGCUGGGGCACGGCGGUCGGUUGCUUAUGCAUCAGCAUGUGAGCUUGAUGCCACACUUGCUGGGGCACCGCGGUCGGUUGCUUAUGCGUCAGCAUGUGAGCUUGAUGCCACACUUGCUGGGGCACGGCGGUCGGUUGCCUCUGCUGCUGAGCUUCUGCGGCCAGUUGCUUCUGAUGCAGGGGCAUUUGAACUGGAUACCACACUUGCUGAGGUUGCUGGGACAUGGGGGCCAGUUCCUUCCGCAGGAUGGCGGCCGGAUGUUUCUGUUGCGCUUGCAUUUGAGAUUUUGGAGACUUAUAAUUGCCAUAUCCUAGAGACCGAAGUGAUCCUGCAUAGAGCCAUGCUGCAUUAGAAUCCAGUGCAGGAGACCGAUCACCUAGGUUAAAAAUAUAAACUGUAAAAUGCCAGCAUUUGAAAGUUAUGGAACUGCAUAGCUGUUAUUUGAAAUGACCUCACCUUCUGAUGUAGAACACGUUAUCCCUCCAAUUAGCAGGCAACAAAGCCAAGAAACGCUUAAGGAAAAAUAAUGUAUGUCAUAAACAUAGCUACCUGUAACACCUGAAGGACAAGGGAAACAAACUUAAUCAAUACUUAAAAACAUACCUGAAAGCGAUUCCAAUUAUCACGGCCAUUUCGCCCUCAAAACCUCACCAGUAUUCAGAACUAAUGGUAGGCAUACGUCCUACCAGAAUAUCCCUUUUACUAUAUUUGCCAGAUGUUUGGUUGCUCCUUUUAAAGGAAUCCCAGACCCUUCUAAUGUCGUUGGCUAAUUAAGGACAGCUGUCA